ACGUGGGGCUCCGGCCCCGCCGAGAUAGAACCCUUGCCUUUUCGAGUACCAAACGUUUCCUCGGCAGGUCCGCCUGCCAAUGGGGACCCAAACAAACCCUUGAAUCACCAGUUACAGUCUGAGAAAACAAAACAAAAAUCA
This 141-nucleotide unclassified non-coding RNA is filed under the name uncultured Ascomycota. RNAcentral's name for it is "sequence contains ITS1". Lineage: Eukaryota; Fungi; Ascomycota. The record is from RNAcentral.